GAUGAAGAACGUAGCGAAAUGCGAUAAGUAAUGCGAAUUGCAGAAUUUCCGUGAGUCAUCGAAUCUUUGAACGCACAUUGCGCCCAUUGGUAUUCCGAUGGGCAUGCCUGUUCGAGCGUCAUUAUCUUCCCUCAAACCUCGCGUUUGGUGUUGGGCCGUGCUGGUUCCUGCGUGACCAACUGGCCUCAAAGACAAUGACGGCGGCGUCGUUGGGACCCCCGGUACACUGAGCUUCUUAACUGAGCACGUACUGGACGCGGGUACGCGACGCACGGUCUGCCUCCCCUUUAAGGGAGAACUUUUUCUUAAGGUUGACCUCGGAUCAGGUAGGAAUACCCGCUGAACUUAAGCAUAUCAAUAAGCGGAGGA
Molecule: unclassified non-coding RNA, 369 nt
Filed under: soil metagenome
Description: partial contains 5.8S ribosomal RNA, internal transcribed spacer 2, and large subunit ribosomal RNA
Rfam family: 5.8S ribosomal RNA (bases 1-121)
Source: RNAcentral